GGGAUUGCCUUAGUAACGGCGAGUGAAGCGGCAACAGCUCAAAUUUGAAAUCUGGCCCCUUCGGGGUCCGAGUUGUAAUUUGUAGAGAGUGUUUCGGGGGAGACCGCGGUCUAAGUCCAUUGGAACAUGGUGUCAUAGAGGGUGAGAAUCCCGUAUGUGACCGUGGAUCGAACCCAUGUGAAGCCUCUUCGACGAGUCGAGUUGUUUGGGAAUGCAGCUCAAAAUGGGGUGGUAAAUUUCAUCUAAAGCUAAAUACUGGCUGGAGACCGAUAGCGCACAAGUAGAGUGAUCGAAAGAUGAAAAGCACUUUGGAAAGAGAGUUAAACAGUACGUGAAAUUGUUGAAAGGGAAGCGCUUGCAACCAGACCUGCCCGUAGGCGAUCAGCCGCUGUUCUCAGCGGUGCACUCGCGCUGCGUUCAGGCCAGCAUCGGUUUCGGCGGUCGGAUAAAGGCCUUGGGAAUGUAGCUUCCUUUCGGGGGAGUCUUAUAGCCCUCGGUGCAAUGCGGCCAGCCGGGACCGAGGACCGCGCUUCGGCUAGGAUGCUGGCGUAAUGGUUGCAAGCGACCCGUCUUGAAACACGGACCAAGGAGUCUAACAUCUAUGCGAGUGUUUGGGUGUCAAACCCAUGCGCGGAAUGAAAGUGAACGGAGGUGAGAACCCUUAAGGGCGCAUCAUCGACCGAUCCAGAUGUCUUCGGAUGGAUUUGAGUAUGAGCAUAGCUGUUGGGACCCGAAAGGCAAGAGCUCACUCCCCUUUGUAUAUUUUUGUAUGGAAUCCUAAGCUAACAUUUUUUAUAGAUGGUGAACUAUGCCUGAAUAGGGUGAAGCCAGAGGAAACUCUGGUGGAGGCUCGCAGCGGUUCUGACGUGCAAAUCGAUCGUCAAAUUUGGGUAUAGGGGCGAAAGACUAAUCGAACCA
Molecule: ribosomal RNA, 918 nt
Filed under: Parmotrema fistulatum
Lineage: Eukaryota; Fungi; Ascomycota; Lecanoromycetes; Lecanorales; Parmeliaceae
Description: eukaryotic LSU rRNA
Rfam family: Eukaryotic large subunit ribosomal RNA
Source: RNAcentral